CCUACGGGGGGCAGCAGUGAGGAAUAUUGGUCAAUGGACGAGAGUCUGAACCAGCCAAGUAGCGUGAAUGAUGACUGCCCUAUGGGUUGUAAACAUCUUUUAUAUGGGAAUAAAACAGGGUAUGCAUACCCUCUCUUAUGUACCAUAUGCAUAAGGAACGGUUAACUCCGUGCCAGCAGCCGCGGUAAUACGGAGGAUCCGAGCGUUAUCCGGAUUUAUUGGGUUUAAAGUGAGCGUAGGUGGAUUGUUAAGUCAGUUGUGAAAGUAUGCGGCUCAACCGUAAAAUUGCAGUUGAUACUGGCAGUCUUGAGUCCAGUAGAGGGGGGCGGAAUUCGAGGUGUAGCGGUGAAAUGCGUAGAUAUCACGAAGAACUCCGAUUGCGAAGGCAGCUCACUGGACUGCAACUGACACUGAUGCUCGAAAGUGUGGGUAUCAAACAGGAUUAGAUACCCGAGUAGUC
Molecule: ribosomal RNA, 460 nt
Filed under: uncultured bacterium
Lineage: Bacteria
Description: partial 16S ribosomal RNA
Rfam family: Bacterial small subunit ribosomal RNA
Source: RNAcentral